This 490-nucleotide ribosomal RNA is filed under the name uncultured bacterium. Its description in RNAcentral is "partial 16S ribosomal RNA". It matches the Rfam family "Bacterial small subunit ribosomal RNA", at positions 30 to 507 of the family's 1533-position model. The record is from RNAcentral.
AUUGAACGCUGGCGGCAGGCCUAACACAUGCAAGUCGAACGGUAACAGGAAGAAGCUUGCUUCUUUGCUGACGAGUGGCGGACGGGUGAGUAAUGUCUGGGAAACUGCCUGAUGGAGGGGGAUAACUACUGGAAACGGUAGCUAAUACCGCAUAACGUCGCAAGACCAAAGAGGGGGACCUUCGGGCCUCUUGCCAUCGGAUGUGCCCAGAUGGGAUUAGCUAGUAGGUGGGGUAACGGCUCACCUAGGCGACGAUCCCUAGCUGGUCUGAGAGGAUGACCAGCCACACUGGAACUGAGACACGGUCCAGACUCCUACGGGAGGCAGCAGUGGGGAAUAUUGCGCAAUGGGCGAAAGCCUGAUGCAGCCAUGCCGCGUGUAUGAAGAAGGCCUUCGGGUUGUAAAGUACUUUCAGCGGGGAGGAAGGGAGUAAAGUUAAUACCUUUGCUCAUUGACGUUACCCGCAGAAGAAGCACCGGCUAACUCCGUG